AUUGAACGCUGGCGGCAGGCCUAACACAUGCAAGUCGAACGGUAACAGGAAGCAGCUUGCUGCUUCGCUGACGAGUGGCGGACGGGUGAGUAAUGUCUGGGAAGCUGCCUGAUGGAGGGGGAUAACUACUGGAAACGGUAGCUAAUACCGCAUAAUGUCGCAAGACCAAAGGGGGGGACCUUCGGGCCUCUUGCCAUCGGAUGUGCCCAGAUGGGAUUAGCUUGUUGGUGGGGUAACGGCUCACCAAGUCGACGAUCCCUAGCUGGUCUGAGAGGAUGACCAGCCACACUGGAACUGAGACACGGUCCAGACUCCUACGGGAGGCAGCAGUGGGGAAUAUUGCACAAUGGGCGCGAGCCUGAUGCAGCCAUGCCGCGUGUAUGAAGAAGGCCUUCGGGUUGUAAAGUACUUUCAGCGGGGAGGAAGGGAGUAAGGUUAAUACCUUUGCUCAUUGACGUUACCCGCAGAAGAAGCACCGGCUAACUCCGUG
This 490-nucleotide ribosomal RNA is filed under the name uncultured bacterium. Its description in RNAcentral is "partial 16S ribosomal RNA". It matches the Rfam family "Bacterial small subunit ribosomal RNA", at positions 30 to 507 of the family's 1533-position model. The record is from RNAcentral.